UUCCUGGUGGCUCAAAGGUUAAAGCGUCUGCCUGCAAUGCAGGAGACCCCAGUUCAAUCCCUGGGUUGGGAA
Molecule: transfer RNA, 72 nt
Filed under: Capra hircus (goat)
Lineage: Eukaryota; Metazoa; Chordata; Mammalia; Artiodactyla; Bovidae
Also listed under: 1 other name
Rfam family: tRNA
About the family: Transfer RNA (tRNA) molecules are approximately 80 nucleotides in length.
Source: Rfam by way of RNAcentral